This 373-nucleotide ribosomal RNA is filed under the name Betaproteobacteria bacterium. RNAcentral describes it as "bacterial SSU rRNA". It matches the Rfam family "Bacterial small subunit ribosomal RNA", at positions 1 to 376 of the family's 1533-position model. Lineage: Bacteria; Pseudomonadati; Pseudomonadota; Betaproteobacteria. The record is from RNAcentral.
AAACUGUAGAGUUUGAUCCUGGCUCAGAUUGAACGCUAGCGGCAUGCCUUACACAUGCAAGUCGAACGGCAGCACGGGGGCAACCCUGGUGGCGAGUGGCGAACGGGUGAGUAAUGCAUCGGAACGUGCCCAUUGAUGGGGGAUAACUGCGCGAAAGCGUUGCUAAUACCGCAUAAGACCUAAGGGUGAAAGCAGGGGACCGCAAGGCCUUGCGUCGAUGGAGCGGCCGAUGUCGGAUUAGCUUGUUGGUGAGGUAAAAGCUCACCAAGGCGACGAUCCGUAGCUGGUCUGAGAGGACGACCAGCCACACUGGGACUGAGACACGGCCCAGACUCCUACGGGAGGCAGCAGUGGGGAAUCUUGGACAAUGGGC